This is a long non-coding RNA of Coregonus clupeaformis (lake whitefish), 326 nucleotides long. RefSeq lists it as uncharacterized. The transcript is spliced from 3 exons. Lineage: Eukaryota; Metazoa; Chordata; Actinopteri; Salmoniformes; Salmonidae. The record is from RefSeq and is a predicted model, not a curated record.
AUGCUGUCUCCGUAUUGCUGCCACCACACUGUUCCCUGGCCGUGACAACAAGGCCACACCUCGACUACGGGAGACCUCAGAGGCCUGAAAAACUGCGUAGUCUCUGCAGGUGCUGCCUGUGGGUCAGGUGGUUGGACAGGCAACCGUUCUGCAGCGGGAUUCUGGGGUCGAUGAACGUGGUCGCUCGGCUGUUGUGGUCCACAAAGAAGUUCUGGACCAAAGAGAAGAUGUUACAGCCCUUAUGUGAAUAGGUGGGUGAGUUAGCUGUGGAUGAACUAAGGAUCUUUGUCUCUGUACCUUGCCCUGAGGGUCAGUCUUGAUCUCCC